Molecule: unclassified non-coding RNA, 324 nt
Filed under: soil metagenome
Description: partial contains 5.8S ribosomal RNA, internal transcribed spacer 2, and large subunit ribosomal RNA
Rfam family: 5.8S ribosomal RNA (bases 1-120)
Source: RNAcentral
GAUGAAGAACGUAGCGAAAUGCGAUAAGUAAUGUGAAUUGCAGAAUUCAGUGAAUCAUCGAAUCUUUGAACGCACAUUGCGCCCCUUGGUAUUCCAUGGGGCAUGCCUGUUCGAGCGUCAUUUGUACCUUCAAGCUUUGCUUGGUGUUGGGUGUUUGUCCCUCGGGACUCGCCUUAAAGUCAUUGGCAGCCAGUGUUUUGGUUUUGAAGCGCAGCACAAGUCGCGAUUCAAGGCUAUCCGCCCGCUUCCACAAGCCUUUUUCACUUUUGACCUCGGAUCAGGUAGGAAUACCCGCUGAACUUAAGCAUAUCAAUAAGCGGAGGA